AAAAAAGGUAAGCUACUAAGAGCGAAUGGUGGAUGCCUUGACUGGUAAAGGCGAUGAAGGACGUACUAGACUGCGAUAAGCUACGGGGAGCUGUCAAGAAGCUUUGAUCCGUAGAUUUCCGAAUGGGGCAACCCAAUGUAUAGAGAUAUGCAUUACCUAUAUAGGAGCGAACGAGGGGAAUUGAAACAUCUUAGUACCCUCAGGAAAAGAAAUCAAUAGAGAUUGCGUCAGUAGCGGCGAGCGAAA
RNAcentral lists this ribosomal RNA (246 nucleotides) under Campylobacter jejuni. RNAcentral's name for it is "partial 23S ribosomal RNA". It matches the Rfam family "Bacterial large subunit ribosomal RNA", at positions 1 to 258 of the family's 2925-position model. Lineage: Bacteria; Pseudomonadati; Campylobacterota; Epsilonproteobacteria; Campylobacterales; Campylobacteraceae. The record is from RNAcentral.